This 698-nucleotide ribosomal RNA is filed under the name Streptomyces sp. A3M1S6. RNAcentral's name for it is "bacterial SSU rRNA". It matches the Rfam family "Bacterial small subunit ribosomal RNA", at positions 119 to 831 of the family's 1533-position model. The record is from RNAcentral. Lineage: Bacteria; Bacillati; Actinomycetota; Actinomycetes; Kitasatosporales; Streptomycetaceae.
GGGCAAUCUGCCCUUCACUCUGGGACAAGCCCUGGAAACGGGGUCUAAUACCGGAUAACACCUUCCUCUGCAUAGGGGUUGGUUAAAAGCUCCGGCGGUGAAGGAUGAGCCCGCGGCCUAUCAGCUUGUUGGUGGGGUAAUGGCCUACCAAGGCGACGACGGGUAGCCGGCCUGAGAGGGCGACCGGCCACACUGGGACUGAGACACGGCCCAGACUCCUACGGGAGGCAGCAGUGGGGAAUAUUGCACAAUGGGCGAAAGCCUGAUGCAGCGACGCCGCGUGAGGGAUGACGGCCUUCGGGUUGUAAACCUCUUUCAGCAGGGAAGAAGCGAAAGUGACGGUACCUGCAGAAGAAGCGCCGGCUAACUACGUGCCAGCAGCCGCGGUAAUACGUAGGGCGCAAGCGUUGUCCGGAAUUAUUGGGCGUAAAGAGCUCGUAGGCGGCUUGUCACGUCGGAUGUGAAAGCCCGGGGCUUAACCCCGGGUCUGCAUUCGAUACGGGCUAGCUAGAGUGUGGUAGGGGAGAUCGGAAUUCCUGGUGUAGCGGUGAAAUGCGCAGAUAUCAGGAGGAACACCGGUGGCGAANGCGGGAUCUCUGGGCCAUUACUGACGCUGAGGAGCGAAAGCGUGGGGAGCGAACAGGAUUAGANACCCUGGUAGUCCCGCCGUAAACGUUGGGAACUAGGGUGUGGGCGAC